UUAAAUUGAAGAGUUUGAUCAUGGCUCAGAUUGAACGCUGGCGGCAGGCCUAACACAUGCAAGUCGAACGGUAACAGGAAUCAGCUUGCUGAUUCGCUGACGAGUGGCGGACGGGUGAGUAAUGUCUGGGAAACUGCCUGAUGGAGGGGGAUAACUACUGGAAACGGUAGCUAAUA
Molecule: ribosomal RNA, 176 nt
Filed under: Escherichia coli
Lineage: Bacteria; Pseudomonadati; Pseudomonadota; Gammaproteobacteria; Enterobacterales; Enterobacteriaceae
Description: partial 16S ribosomal RNA
Rfam family: Bacterial small subunit ribosomal RNA
Source: RNAcentral